Molecule: transfer RNA, 82 nt
Organism: Enterobacter sp. 638
Lineage: Bacteria; Pseudomonadati; Pseudomonadota; Gammaproteobacteria; Enterobacterales; Enterobacteriaceae
Rfam family: tRNA
About the family: Transfer RNA (tRNA) molecules are approximately 80 nucleotides in length.
Source: Rfam
GGUGGGGUUCCCGAGCGGCCAAAGGGAGCAGACUGUAAAUCUGCCGUCAUCGACUUCGAAGGUUCGAAUCCUUCCCCCACCA